RNAcentral lists this ribosomal RNA (253 nucleotides) under uncultured bacterium. RNAcentral describes it as "partial 16S ribosomal RNA". It matches the Rfam family "Bacterial small subunit ribosomal RNA", at positions 524 to 776 of the family's 1533-position model. The record is from RNAcentral.
UACAGAGGCUUCGAGCGUUAUGCGGAAUCACUGGGCUUAAAGCGUGUGUAGGCGGACUUCUAAGUACCUUGUGAAAUCCCACGGCUCACCCGUGGAACUGCUGGGUAUACUGGUCGUCUUGAGUCUUCUAGGGGCUACCGGAACAAAUGGUGGAGCGGUGAAAUGCGUAGAUAUCAUUUGGAACGCCAAUGGUGAAAACAGGUAGCUGGGGAAGUGCUGACGCUAAGACACGAAAGCGAGGGGAGCGAACAGG